Molecule: transfer RNA, 94 nt
Organism: Fimbriiglobus ruber
Lineage: Bacteria; Pseudomonadati; Planctomycetota; Planctomycetia; Gemmatales; Gemmataceae
Rfam family: Selenocysteine transfer RNA
Source: Rfam
GGGGGUGUUUGCACGGCUGGUGCCGGCCCUGGUCUUCAAAACCUGUGGGGGGUGUGAACAACGCCCCCAGUCGGUUCGAUUCCGAUACACUCCC